Molecule: long non-coding RNA, 311 nt
Filed under: Hordeum vulgare
Lineage: Eukaryota; Viridiplantae; Streptophyta; Magnoliopsida; Poales; Poaceae
Description: long non-coding RNA (HVUL_LNC019456)
Source: RNAcentral
GCGAGAUCUCACAUCCGCGAUCCGACCCGACCGGCAGCGAUGGCCGGCAAGGAGCUGAGCGAGGAGCAGGUUGCGUCGAUGCGGGAGGCCUUCUCCCUCUUCGACACUGACGGCGACGGCCGCAUCGCCCCCUCGGAGCUCGGCGUCCUCAUGCGUUCCCUGGGUGGGAACCCGACGCAGGCGCAGCUCCGCGACAUCGCCGCCCAGGAGAAGCUCACGGCCCCCUUCGACUUCCCGCGCUUCCUCGACCUCAUGCGCGCCCACCUCCGCCCUGAGCCCUUCGACCGCCCGCUUCGCGACGCCUUCCGCGU